Non-coding RNA from Chiloscyllium plagiosum (whitespotted bambooshark), 200 nucleotides. NCBI's taxonomy places the organism in Eukaryota, Metazoa, Chordata, Chondrichthyes, Orectolobiformes, Hemiscylliidae. The record is from RefSeq and is a predicted model, not a curated record.
AUCGCUUCUUGGCCCCCUUUGGUUCGGAAUAUGUGUAGUUUCUGUUCUUAUCAGUUUAAUCGUUGAUAUCUGAUCAGGGCAGCACGGUGGCACAGUGGUUAGCACUGCUGCCUCACAGCGCCAGAGACCUGGGUUCAAUUCCCGCCUCAGGCGACUGACUGUGUGGAGUUUGCACAUUCUCCCCGUGUCUGCGUGGGUUU